This 446-nucleotide ribosomal RNA is filed under the name uncultured Lactobacillus sp. Its description in RNAcentral is "bacterial SSU rRNA". It matches the Rfam family "Bacterial small subunit ribosomal RNA", at positions 56 to 479 of the family's 1533-position model. The record is from RNAcentral. Lineage: Bacteria; Bacillati; Bacillota; Bacilli; Lactobacillales; Lactobacillaceae.
UGCCUUGAAGAUCGGAGUGCUUGCACUCUGUGAAACAAGAUACAGGCUAGCGGCGGACGGGUGAGUAACACGUGGGUAACCUGCCCAAGAGAUCGGGAUAACACCUGGAAACAGAUGCUAAUACCGGAUAACAACAGAUGAUGCCUAUCAACUGUUUAAAAGAUGGUUCUGCUAUCACUCUUGGAUGGACCUGCGGUGCAUUAGCUAGUUGGUAGGGUAACGGCCUACCAAGGCGAUGAUGCAUAGCCGAGUUGAGAGACUGAUCGGCCACAUUGGGACUGAGACACGGCCCAAACUCCUACGGGAGGCAGCAGUAGGGAAUCUUCCACAAUGGACGCAAGUCUGAUGGAGCAACGCCGCGUGAGUGAAGAAGGGUUUCGGCUCGUAAAGCUCUGUUGUUGGUGAAGAAGGACAGGGGUAGUAACUGACCUUUGCUUGACGGUAAU